ACCAAGACAAAUACUCAAGUGGAAACGCAUCCUCCUCCCCCAAACCCUCCUCUCUGUAAACCAUUCUUUUCUCCGACCACAAAACCUCCGAUCAACGACGAUUCUGCUAUAUCACAACCCAUCGCCGUUGAAAAUGGUCUGUGUUUUAUUCUCCUGAUUUCCAAAGUGGAUGUCCCAAGCUGACGUCUGCUACAGGAUUUAGCGCUGCAGCAGAGUGUGAUCGACAAACCCAGUAAUAAGCUUCCCUAUAUGAUUUCUUAGACUGUUACAGGUUUCUCGGCUUGGUGCUCAGGGUCUUAUUUGUUGUGUGGGCUGGGUGUAUGGUUCUGGGGAACCUACCUAUUCUGUUGUGAUGGGCUGGGG
Long non-coding RNA from Hibiscus syriacus, 363 nucleotides. RefSeq lists it as uncharacterized. The record is from RefSeq and is a predicted model, not a curated record. The transcript is spliced from 3 exons. Lineage: Eukaryota; Viridiplantae; Streptophyta; Magnoliopsida; Malvales; Malvaceae.